Molecule: long non-coding RNA, 233 nt
Filed under: Cicer arietinum (chickpea)
Lineage: Eukaryota; Viridiplantae; Streptophyta; Magnoliopsida; Fabales; Fabaceae
Description: long non-coding RNA (CARI_LNC001913)
Source: RNAcentral
CAAAGAACCCCUACAUAAGCAUGCAUGUCACGAAAUAAGUGUGGAUCACAAAGCAUAUUUGAAGGGGAACAUGGAGAAUGAGUAAGAAUGAAUUCUUUUACAUUUUUGUUGUAGAUUUAAGUUUUGUUUGGAUUGAUGGAAUAAAGUGGAAUAAAGUGUUAGCUAACGAGAUUAUAUUGUUUCAAUUUUUAAAAAAAAAAUAGUAGAAUGAAAUGGAAUAUGACGAAAUCUAU